UAAAUUCCUUGCUGCCCACCCGCGCUCGGAGAAAUAUCGAAGGAAACCCGGGCUCCAGGGACAGGGGCUUUUCUGAAAGGAUGGCUUCCUCCGCUCCCUCGUCCUCCAACGACGCUCCGGACCCCACCCCGACUAAUUUACGACCCACAACCUACGACUCGUGGUGUGGCGUGGCGCACGGGUGCACCAGGAAGAUCGGGCUGAAGAUAUGCGGGUUCCUGCAAAGGACCAACAGUCUGGAAGACAAGGGCCGGAUCGUGAGCUCCCUGAAGGAAAGGCGGUCCUCCAAGAGCCUGCUGGCGUGUGAGAACAGCGAGAAGGAGUCCAGGUUCCGGCGCACCGAGACAGACUUCUCCAAUUUGUAUGCUAGAGAUUUGCUGCCCGCCAAGAACGGCGAGGAGCAGACCAUGCAGUUCCUGCUGGAGGUCGUGGACAUCCUCCUCAACUACGUGAGGAAGACGUUUGACAGGUCCACCAAAGUGCUGGACUUUCACCAUCCGCACCAGCUCCUGGAGGGCAUGGAGGGCUUCAACCUGGAGCUCUCGGACAACCCCGAGUCCCUGGAGCAGAUCCUGGUGGACUGCCGGGACACACUCAAGUACGGGGUGAGGACAGGUCAUCCGCGCUUUUUCAAUCAGCUCUCCACAGGACUGGACAUCAUUGGCUUGGCUGGGGAGUGGUUGACAUCGACUGCUAACACAAACAUGUUUACAUAUGAAAUUGCCCCUGUUUUUGUUCUCAUGGAACAAAUAACACUUCGAAAGAUGAGAGAGAUUAUUGGAUGGUCGAAUAAAGAUGGUGAUGGAAUAUUCUCACCUGGAGGAGCUAUUUCCAACAUGUACAGCAUAAUGGCUGCACGCUACAAAUAUUUCCCUGAAGUCAAAACCAAAGGCAUGGCCGCAGUCCCUAAACUGGUUCUCUUUACCUCAGAACAUAGUCACUACUCAAUAAAGAAAGCUGGAGCUGCACUUGGAUUUGGAACAGACAACGUGAUUUUGAUAAAAUGCAAUGAAAGAGGCAAAAUAAUACCAGCUGAUUUGGAAGCAAAAAUUUUGGAAGCGAAACAAAAGGGAUACAUUCCUCUCUUUGUAAAUGCAACCGCAGGCACAACAGUAUACGGAGCCUUUGAUCCAAUACAGGAGAUUGCAGAUAUAUGUGAAAAAUAUAACCUCUGGCUCCAUGUAGAUGCUGCUUGGGGAGGUGGACUCUUAAUGUCCCGAAAGCAUCGUCAUAAAUUGAAUGGAAUAGAAAGAGCCAAUUCAGUCACUUGGAAUCCACACAAGAUGAUGGGAGUAUUGUUGCAAUGUUCCGCCAUUCUGGUCCGGGAGAAGGGUAUACUUCAAGGCUGCAAUCAGAUGUGUGCAGGAUAUCUCUUCCAGCAAGACAAACAGUAUGAUGUAUCCUAUGACACAGGAGAUAAGGCAAUACAGUGUGGUCGACAUGUGGACAUUUUCAAAUUCUGGUUGAUGUGGAAGGCAAAGGGUACAGUAGGAUUUGAAAAUCAGAUCAACAAAUGCCUGGAACUGGCAGAAUAUCUCUAUACUAAAAUCAAAAACAGAGAAGAAUUUGAAAUGGUUUUUGAAGGAGAGCCAGAGCAUACAAACAUAUGUUUCUGGUAUAUUCCACCAAGUCUCAGGGGCAUGCCAGACUGCGAUGAGAGACGAGAAAAGUUACACAGGGUGGCACCGAAAAUCAAAGCACUGAUGAUGGAGUCAGGUACUACCAUGGUUGGAUAUCAGCCACAGGGUGAUAAAGUCAACUUCUUCCGAAUGGUCAUCUCAAACCCAGCAGCGACGAAGUCUGACAUAGACUUCCUCAUUGAGGAAAUAGAGAGACUGGGGCAGGAGCUGUAGUGCAAUGGUUGAGUUAUUUAUUUCUCUAAUUCACUGUUUUCCAGUACUGGCUAUUUUUUUAACCCAGUUCUGCAGAACAUGUUUUAAGGAAAUUCCAUUUCUGUAAGCUCCAAUCUCCUAAGACAUCGUUAAACAGCAACAACAAGGUAUAGGCUACUAAAACAUACGUGUAUUGGUAGAUCAUUUUACUGAGGGAAAAUGUAUUAUCUUGAAGUUGAAGUACUGUUGACUCUCACAUUGGUCUUGUUAAUUGUAGUCAGCAGUAAAUUAGUAAGUACUAAAAUAGAAGAUUAAGAACUCUGCACAGUACAUAUGUACAGUAUAAAUAUAUAUAUAAUUAUAUAUAUACAUAUAUAUAUAUAUAUAUAUAUAUAUAUAAAGUGGUUAUAAACUUAGACCUAAGCCACAGCAUGUUUUCCACUUUAAGAGAAUUAAGUUUUCCUUCAACAACUAAUGACGUGGAUAAUGUGCUACAGAUUUUUAGCCAGGUAAAAAUAGACAUAUAGAAACAUUUCUAAAAUGUAGAUUCUUAGGAGCUAAAGAAAACGUAUAACAGUAUUAAAUCUUAUUGUUGGUGCUUCUCUUACAUACAAAACAGCAAUCUCUAACAGCACCUUUGAGUAAAAUAGUUGUAUUUCCCCUUUAGUGUCACAUCAGGGGAUAAUAGUAGCAGAGUCAUUGUAACAGGUAUAUUAUUGCUGUAUUUUUAGAGGUUAAUUUGUGUAGAUUGUGUAUAUUAUUGUUAAUUGACUUUGUGUAAAAGGAUUUAAAUGUAAUAGUUUUACAGCAAGAUAACUGUUGAAUUGUAGGUAUAUGAAAUAUUUGCUUAUUUAUAUGCAGAGAUUUACCAUGCUGAAGAGUUGUCUUGUAUUUUCUUCCAUUUGUAAUGUAUCCUAUUUAUAUAUUAUUGAAGUUCUAAAUAAUGUUUAUGGUAUUUUAGUGUAUUUGUGAGCCAAAGAAAAAAUACAAAAAUAUUAGUUGACACUUUCAUUUAAAUCCUAGUGCCCUUAAAAUAAUAAUUUACAGAUAAUUUUACUGAUUAGAAAGAAUUCUAACAUUGUAUAUAGAUUGUCAAAUAAUGAAAUCCCCUUAAUCUAUUAGAAUUUUCAUUUUUAUUUAUUGUAAUGUCAGAAUGUCUGUUCAGUGUUCUGAAUGCUUUUCUAGUGAAUAUGGGUUGCUAACCAAGGCCCCUGGUCUUGAGCUGUAUUUCAGGACCGAUCUGUAUGACCAUUCUAACUAAAUUCUUUGGGAAGAUUCCUGAAGGUCUAUAGCAUAUAUAUGGGAGUCUUAACCAGCACCGUUCUUUUAGUGAAAUUAAAUUCACUAUAUGGUUGGAGCACAUAAAAUAAAUAGAAACAAAAUUCAUCUUAGAAUUUUUAAAUACAGCUGGCUUGUUGCAACAAUUUAAGAGUAUAGACACCAGAGUCGCCUGCAGCUUGUUCAGUUUUAAUCAUUAGAUAAUCAAUACUGCAAAGUGGAAAACUCCAUACUGGAAGCAGAAUAGUGGAACAAAAUGAAAAUUCAAUAGUUCUAUGUCUACAGAAUUACUGUCAUGGUGAUAAAUGGAAUAUGCUGAUUUCAAACCUCUUCAUACAUGAUUCUAUGUCUGUUACCCAUGCAAGUCAAUAAUUAGUUGGGUUUUCUUUUUCUUUUUUUUUUCUUCUCCAAAUCAGUAAUAAAAUCUAAUUAUUUUAGAAAUACUCAGUGAAAUGCAGUCACACUAUGCCGUAUUCACAGCUUCUCUGACCCUCUUCAGUUCUGUGGAAGGACAGACAGCUACAGACAGCAGAUACUUCCAUCCUGCAGGGUCCCACAGGUUGUCUUCUGAGGAUGCUGUCUCAUAUCUUCGGCUGGGUCAGAACAGGUAGAAAGAAGAAUCUGUGAAAUAAUAAAUGUCACGUCAUAUAGCACAGCCUUUCCAACUUUUUGUAGGACUAUUGUUCAUCCCUUUUCCAUAACAUUCUGCAAAACCUUUUCUUGAUAUCAUCCAAGUUAAAUCUAAAAUGAUUAUAAAUUUGUCACUGUCUUCUAAGUUUAUGGUUAUGACUUUCAAAAGAUUAUAUACAUCAUUAUGUUUAAGCCUUGAAACCCCUACUAAUCCCAGCAGUACAGUAUUUCUUUAGUAGGUUCUUUUCAUGAAGAUAGUGCAGUUGUAUCUUGCUUUUUUAAUCUUAAACCAUAACCUUCCUUAAUUAUAAGGCUGAUAUCUUACCGUGCCUUUACUAGUUAACUCUUUUGAUGUAAACUGCUAUGCUGUAAGACCUGAGGCCUGCCCCACAGAAGCAGUGUGAAUAUUGACUUCAGUACCAACUUCCACAAUGUUAAUUGUUAUUCUUUAUAGAUAUAAGCUAUUCAUCAAAACCUGAGGGCCUCUCACUUAAGCUGUUUUUUAGGAUUAUAGAAUGAAGUUUGUUUUGAAGGGAGAGCAUUGUCACAUUUCAGUUCAAAGGCUUCUGCCUGAAAUCUGGUCUCCGUCACAAUUUUACUUUAUUCAAAGUCCAGCUACAGAAGGUUGAGUCCUUAGUUCUUCUGGUUUAUGAGAAACAAUAUGAACUAGGAUAAGCAAUGCAAAUGCAUUUAACUACUGACCUUACUUCACUAGGGUAUUUUGCAUCUUCCACACCAGCAGCACCAUAGUCAUUGUGAUUUCUUCUACCAGUUCCUAGGUGAGAAUUUCUAACUUCCUGCACCUCCUUUGUCAGGUUAUUUCAUCAACAGUAUUACAAAACUGGAAGAUCACAAUUUACCCUUAAUCCUCUAACCUUAACAUUUUAACCUCAUGGAUCUUGUAUCCAGAUCAUCAUCUUGAUAUGGUAGUAACAAUCUAUGGUAUUUGAAAUUGUAUAUCCCCUAGAAGCAUAUAAACUACGUAAAAAGAAUUAUCUGAUAUAACUGACUGCAAAACUGUAGGAAAUACUGUAAUAUGGUUUACUGGCAUUCAUACAGCAAGGCUUGGACAGUCUGUUGAUCUAGUCAGAAAUAGAUCUAGAUCUCCUCAGCAUGUAUAUCGUGUUUUACUCACUAGAAUUUCAGCUUCCUUAUUUAGUGGAGUAUCUUGCUUUUUGGAGGUAAGAAGCAUCAGUGGUUUUAGCUGUUGCCAUUGAUGGUUUUUAUACAGAGAGAAAUAAUAGAGCUCCUCCUGCUUGCCUGAGAAAUGAGAAAGUUAUCACAGAGGUACUUUCUCUAAAGAUUGGAGCUUUAAAUCCAUCUUCCUACACUCUGAAUUUUAUCUUGCCUUUCUGCAGUGUUGUCUUGACACAGGUGAUACCUACAGGUUGUUUUUAGUUUAGUUUUGUGGUUGUUUUUUUUUGUUUGUUUGUUUAUUUGUUUGUUUUUGGUGUGUGUGAAGCUUUUAAUUCUAAUAUCAGCUCCAGAGUGCUUCCCUAUUACAUGUACUGGCUUCCAUAUGGACAGGGCUCAUAUUAGUUUCUGACCUGGUUAGCUGAUUUUAACAGAGCAAUUAUGGUCAUCAGUAAGAAAACUCAUCUGUGUUUUCUUAUGAGGUAAUUUUCAUCUUGGUAAUAUGUUACAGCUUCUCAAACAAAAGCUUUCCUGGAAUAUUCCUGUUUUUUAAUCCAUACGCUAUUAACCAUGAGAGAUCAGGAAGUAUGGAUAUACAGAAGUGUUGACUAAUUCAAAGCAUUACAAUUCCAGGUGAGUAACUUUGCUUUUCUGAGGUUUAAAAUAUAGCAAUUUUGUCUUUAAAAUCACACUGACAAUCACUGUAAUUUGGCUGGGUGAAUUCAGAUCAAAUAAAUAAUAGGCAAGGUUUUAGCUGAACAUGUAGCUGCAGAGCUUAUUAACUGAAGCAAUUUUUAUAGAAAAGGCUGAUCAUUAGAUGAAAAUCAACAGCAGCUGUUGAUUUUGAAUGAGAAGAAUUCUGGUUGUAUUACUAAAGGUACUUUUCUGGAGAAGAUAGAUUAUACCAUUCAUUGCAGACAGAAAGAACCAGGGACCUUGAGAGUAGCCCAGGAUUUUAAAAUAAUUGAACGAUGAUUCAUAAUCUGUUUUUUGAAUGGUGACAAAUAUGAAGAGAUUUUUUAAACAGAAUCUCUGUUUUGUGGUUAAAGAAAUGUCGAAGUUAUAAAGAAGAUAUGCAAUGCAGUUUUAAUUUUUCAAUAAAAGUUGAUCUUAAAACUGUCUUAUUUGUCUCAUAUAAUUUUUGUGAGCUCUUUUGUUUCCUUAAGAAUAUGAGACAAAAGCCAUACAAUAUCCUUCACAUCAAAAAAAAAAAAAAAAAAGGCAAAUUCUAAGGCCACUGUUUAGUUUUAAUUGUGAAUUUAAUGUCAUCUUGUACCAACACAGACUGAGGAAGAACUCCAAGCUCUGAACACUGAUCUUUGAAGAGGGUAGUUAAGAUAUUAGUAAUCUGUAAAAAUGCUUAAAAAAAAAAUCUGUCUGUAUGGUGUUUUGUGUGGUUUCUGAAAUUCUCAUCCAACUUACUCAUACAGAGGAUCCAGGAAAGUGAAAAAAGAAGUUUGGAAUGGGUUAAAAAAAUGAGAUGAAACUGUUCUGGUAAAAAUUAUGCUCUUUAAUCUGUGAAUAUAUUUAUAAAAUUUAUAUUCUUGUAAUGCAGGUCUUACUUUCAGGAAGACAUGAAUACACAGUUAAUUUUGCUUUACCAUGCCACUGUUUGAUCUCGGUGUUUAUUUACUAAGCAUAUUUAAAUCUGCACACAAUCAGAACUAUGAUGUUUUUAUGCACUUUUCUGUACAAGGACUUUUCUGUACAAAAUAACAACAACAAAAAAAAAGAAUGGGACUAGGAUUAAAAGUGUUUUGAAAGGUAUUAUGUUUCAGCAGUUAAGUGCUUGUCUGACAAGAAAGAUACGGGGAUGCUCCCACAAGAGGAGCCCCCACAGCGCCCCAUGGCGACAACCCUGUGAAAUCAGUGCUAUGGGAUACUGAGUGAGUGAUUGCUAGUGUUGAAAUUUUGCAUAGCAGAAAAUCUGUGAUUAUUCUUAUCAUAGUUAGUCAGGCAGUGCAAUUAGAACUGUCUUUCUUUGGAUGAGGGUUCAGCCACUUUUGUGGUAAGCAUUAUAAUGUGCAGUCUUUUACAGUAGAAAUGUUUCCUUGAAAUACAAGGAUUGGCAACUUUAGAUUUGUGAGUCAAGUAAAUAUGUUAUGUAAGAAUAAUUUUGGAAAGGUGUACAAGGGAAGCCUAAUCUUACUAUCACAGAACUCCACAGAAGAACUGUUGCUGAUUGCAUGAAUCAAUCUUACCCAUUCCUGGAAUUGAAAGACCAUUUCAACAGAAUGGGACCCUAUGUUUGAGUGUUUUAUAAUUUGCAGAUUGCGACAGUUAUGCUUAGGGUGAUGACAGAUGAAUCUGGAGUACUUCAUCAAGAACUGGAACUAAGCUAGUGAAGAGGAAAUGAGAAGAUGAAGUGUCAACAGAAAGCAAAGUCUAAAAGGAUGGCUGCUCAACAUGGAAGGAUUGGGGUUUCAUUGGAGCAUUUGGGAGAAUUGGACUUCUAAACAAAGCAGAAUUAAAUUUAUGAUUAGAAUAAAAGAUAAGCUGAAAUUUUUAAGUAGACCGGUAAAGAAAGAUACACUUUCUGGUUCUCUGUUUUAAUAGAUUUAUCUACCAAGGAAAAGUGGAACGUCAUUUAGUAAUGUUGAUAUUAGAAAAAUUAGAAGAUAAGAUAUUGCAUAACUUGAUUUAUUUCUGCUGUUUAUUAGGUAAUCUGUUCAGCAUCUGACUAUAAUUCUUUUAGGUUGGAUAAGUAUACUUUAUAUGUGUAUUUGUGAGUGUAUUUAUAUUCCUUGAUAUAGGACACGUGCAUGUACAUAGUAUGUAUCAGAAAAAAAAAAAGUAUUGCAUGAUGUUGACCAUUUUGUGGAACAUCUGCAAAGAUUCUUUAAGUAUAACAUUAAACUAGUAUAUCAUGAAGGAAGUAGUAAAUUUUCUUCCCUUACCUUUGAAAAUGUGUGUGUGUAUGUUUAUGUGUAUAAGAAUGAUUAAAUCUCUGUCAUGAAUUUCUUAAAUUAUAUGCUUUUUAACAAGAUACUGUUCCUAGUUAAUCUGAGAACUGUUUGUUUGAUCCAGGAAUUACUGUGUGAAAAAUUUUGGCUUUUUUCUAUAUAGAAAGCAGUUGUCCCACGGCAAUGUGAGAGAAAAUAUGUAACAGUAUUACAGGUGAUAGGAAGUGGAGAAAAACUAAGUUGAAUGUUUCAAGAAAGCCUAGAAAUGGACAGUAAAAGCAAAAUCAACAAAU
This is an RNA transcript of Cygnus olor (mute swan), 8070 nucleotides long. It is a transcript of the gene named glutamate decarboxylase 1, with no coding region annotated. The record is from RefSeq and is a predicted model, not a curated record. The transcript has 17 exons. NCBI's taxonomy places the organism in Eukaryota, Metazoa, Chordata, Aves, Anseriformes, Anatidae.